UUCUACUUUUGUGGCUAACUUCACAAUACAUAACCAUAUCAGAUCAGGCCCCACUAGCCAGACGAAGCUAGGUGGCUGCUUUAACGUUAGCUUUGGGAAACAGGGUAGCUCGUUUUUUUCUUCGUGAACUGAAGUUCAAUUUCAAUAGGCGAACAACAAGUGGCUACCUAGUGAAUACUUACUCACAAGGAUUCCCAAAUCAUUGCUAAGAAUAUUGAAAAUGACUGCAGUUUCUACUGGUAAUUGUUUUCAGGCUGGUUGCACAUUGGUGCUAACAAUCCCAGAAGUUGCUAAUAACAUCUGCAUCAAAGAUAUUUGCCAUUUUUAAAAUCCGGCUUGUUUGGUGGCGGUUGGCUUGCACGUGCAAAUGCAGCACACACACAACAAUCUAUAAUACAAUUGUGUUAUUUGACGUGUCGAAUAUUGUAUCUUUUUGACGAGCAAAGACCCAAACGGCGUUCCAUAGUAUGUUGUUGGGGUCUGUCGAAAUAGAACGACGUCAUGCUUGGAUCAGCUGCAUUUUACUUCAGACAAUGAUGCUUGAUGGCAGACAUUUUUCCUAGAGGAUUACAGUCAGCUUGUGUUGUCAGGCCUGUCUAUCCCUCUCUAGAUGGACAAUAUGCUGGAUAAAGACGUGGAUGACUCCAUAGAAUGUAAUACAACUUUAUAAUCCAUUGGUGAGAAUGGAUAAUGUCUUCUCCCUUUCCCAACACAAACAAAUACACACAAGUUGACACAGCAGCAGUGCAGAGCCCCAGGAUGGAGGGGUGCUGCACUGCAGGGUGUUGGGAAAAGCAGGAGGCACAUUUCUGUGCUAAUGUACAAUAAAGUAUCGGAUCCCUCCAUGUCAUUGUCAAAAGGUCUCUUUGCACAUCUCUUCACCCACACCACUGUUUCUAUUGCCCCACUGUACAAGUAUUCCUUGUAUUGUACUACACUGCCAUUACUGAAUGUAUGGCUACUAAUUGUGCUAAAGUAUCCUGUAUGUUCAGAACAAACGUUAGGUUUUACUAUGCCUACUUAAAUAUGACAAAGACUAAUGUCGUUAUUACAAUGCCUACUUUGAUUAUUGUGAAUGACUUGUUUAUUGUGAAAGAUGAAGAAUUCACAUAUGUUUACUUUGCCAACCAAUGAAAGAGCGGAAAAGAGAGAACUAAAAUUAUCACUUAGAACUUGAUGGGUUAAAUGAAAUACUAACUGAAAUCUGGAAA
Molecule: long non-coding RNA, 1211 nt
Organism: Salvelinus fontinalis (brook trout)
Lineage: Eukaryota; Metazoa; Chordata; Actinopteri; Salmoniformes; Salmonidae
Exons: 2
Source: RefSeq, a predicted model, not a curated record